GUGAAUCAUCAAAUCUUUGAACGCAAAUGGCACUCCCUGGUAUUCCGGGGAGUAUGCCUGUUUGAGGGUCGUUAGAAUAAAAAAUCGAGGCAUCGCUCUUUUUUUUAAGGGUGAUCGCGUCGGAAUUGAGCCGACUUUCAAAUGUUAAUUCAUGUCAAAGUGGCUUAAAAUUCAUCCUUCCGGUACGAUUAAAGCGUAUUUAAAAUCAAUUUUGUUCAAUAACGCGCGAUUACGUACCAUUGC
This 243-nucleotide unclassified non-coding RNA is filed under the name Funneliformis mosseae. RNAcentral's name for it is "partial contains 5.8S ribosomal RNA and internal transcribed spacer 2". The stretch from base 1 to 71 matches the Rfam family "5.8S ribosomal RNA", at positions 84 to 154 of the family's 154-position model. Lineage: Eukaryota; Fungi; Glomeromycota; Glomeromycetes; Glomerales; Glomeraceae. The record is from RNAcentral.